GCAAGGUCGUCGUUGCUGGUGUCCGUUUGGCUUUCUUAUCAGAAAAGCCACUGUGCUGCAAGAGACCUGGCCCGGGCGUCUUCCGCUGCCCUGCGCUUUGUGAAAAGAGCGAAGCUGAGUGCUGGAGGAGUCUGAGUGGUGACCCUGAACCCCUAAGCCUUAUCCGGGGAUUUCUCAGCAUCGUAGGCCUGGUUUAUUAAGACAAAAGAAGCAACUUAGAAUUAGCAGAAGGACACAAAAUGGCUUACACAUUUGCUUUUACUUUGUCAGUAAGUAUAUUUUAUUUUUACACCUCCCGUGCCCUAAUAUUGGUAACUUUGUGUAUUAAUAUAU
Molecule: long non-coding RNA, 333 nt
Filed under: Anser brachyrhynchus (Pink-footed goose)
Lineage: Eukaryota; Metazoa; Chordata; Aves; Anseriformes; Anatidae
Description: lncRNA (ENSABRG00000008280.1)
Source: RNAcentral